AAUUACCCAAUCCUGACACAGGGAGGUAGUGACAAGAAAUAACAAUACAGGGCUUAAAGUCUUGUAAUUGGAAUGAUGGGAAUCUAAACCCUUCCCAGAGUAUCAAUUGGAGGGCAAGUCUGGUGCCAGCAGCCGCGGUAAUUCCAGCUCCAAUAGCGUAUAUUAAAGUUGUUGCAGUUAAGAAGCUCGUAGUUGAAUUUCUGCCUUGUCAUUAAUCUCGCUUCCGAGCGUUUUUUUAUUGACUUGGCAUCUUCUGGAUUUGGUGCCUUCGGGUACUAUUUCCCAGGAUUUACUUUGAGAAAACUAGAGUGUUUCAAACAGGCAUUCGCCUUGAAUACUACAGCAUGGAAUAAUGAAGUAGGACUUUGGUUCUAUUUUGUUGGUUAUUGAGCCAGAGUAAUGGUUAAUAGGAGCAGUUGGGGGCAUUCGUAUUUAA
RNAcentral lists this ribosomal RNA (436 nucleotides) under Babesia microti. RNAcentral describes it as "SSU rRNA". It matches the Rfam family "Eukaryotic small subunit ribosomal RNA", at positions 439 to 901 of the family's 1831-position model. The record is from RNAcentral. Lineage: Eukaryota; Apicomplexa; Aconoidasida; Piroplasmida; Babesiidae.